GGGGAAUAUUGGACAAUGGGCGAAAGCCUGAUCCAGCCAUGCCGCGUGUGUGAAGAAGGUCUUCGGAUUGUAAAGCACUUUCAGUUGGGAGGAAGGGUUUCUGGCUAAUACCCUGUAUGGAUGACGGUACCGGAAUAAGAAGCACAGGCUAACUACGUGCCAGCAGCCGCGGUAAUACGUAGGGUGCGAGCGUUAAUCGGAAUUACUGGGCGUAAAGCGUGCGCAGGCGGUUUUGUAAGACAGGCGUGAAAUCCCCGGGCUCAACCUGGGAACUGCGCUUGUGACUGCAAGACUAGAGUACGGCAGAGGGGGGUGGAAUUCCACGUGUAGCAGUGAAAUGCGUAGAGAUGUGGAGGAACACCAAUGGCGAAGGCAGCCCCCUGGGUCGAUACUGACGCUCAUGCACGAAAGCAUGGGGAGCAAACA
RNAcentral lists this ribosomal RNA (426 nucleotides) under uncultured Azovibrio sp. Its description in RNAcentral is "bacterial SSU rRNA". It matches the Rfam family "Bacterial small subunit ribosomal RNA", at positions 356 to 774 of the family's 1533-position model. The record is from RNAcentral. Lineage: Bacteria; Pseudomonadati; Pseudomonadota; Betaproteobacteria; Rhodocyclales; Rhodocyclaceae.